UAUACGACUCUCGGCAAUGGAUAUCUCGGCUCUCGCAUCGAUGAAGAGCGCAGCGAAAUGCGAUACGUGGUGUGAAUUGCAGAAUCCCGCGAACCAUCGAGUCUUUGAACGCAAGUUGCGCCCGAGGCCAAUCGGUUGAGGGCACGUCUGCCUGGGCGUCAAGC
This 164-nucleotide ribosomal RNA is filed under the name Oxystophyllum sinuatum. Its description in RNAcentral is "5.8S ribosomal RNA". It matches the Rfam family "5.8S ribosomal RNA". From Rfam's summary of the family: 5.8S ribosomal RNA (5.8S rRNA) is a component of the large subunit of the eukaryotic ribosome. It is transcribed by RNA polymerase I as part of the 45S precursor that also contains 18S and 28S rRNA. Lineage: Eukaryota; Viridiplantae; Streptophyta; Magnoliopsida; Asparagales; Orchidaceae. The record is from RNAcentral.